RNAcentral lists this unclassified non-coding RNA (805 nucleotides) under Hevea brasiliensis (rubber tree). The record is from RNAcentral. Lineage: Eukaryota; Viridiplantae; Streptophyta; Magnoliopsida; Malpighiales; Euphorbiaceae.
UGUUAUCAGAUCUGAUCCAUAACAUAUUCAUGGGGCAAUCUGCAAGUGUAAGAACAAAAUUUACAAACAUAAUAACAUAAUGUUAAUCAUAAAACUGUAAAAGUGAUACUUACACUUGAGGAAGAGUUUGCAAAUUAAAGUUGGAAACAACUGUGGGCAAUGCAUCAAAACAAAAGAUCAAGUAUGAAACUAACUUGGAAAAAUUUGAGGAAAAGUUUGAGUAAUACCACAACAAAAACACCAAAUAUCCCAAAUGGGGAUGGGGACAAGAUGAUAGCAGGAAAAUGAUUUAGAUAAUCCUCUGCUAACCUUUAGAUGCAAAAUGGUAUGAAAAUAUUAAUUGUGGGAAUACCAAAUGUGUCUUCCUUAUUAGUUUGGUUCGGUUUUUGAUAGAUUUUAUACACACAGAUGUGUAUGCAUCUCAUAGACUAGGUGGAGAUUUGUUGUAGGUUAUGGAUACGUGACUCCAAAUUUGGUUUAUGUUUGGAAGAUUUGAUAUAAUACCGCAAGGGAAUUCUUGAUUUGGUAGUAGGAGUCUAUAAACUGUUAAUAUAUAGUGGUGGUUUGGGAGUAAUUAACUAAUUAUACAGUAUAACUGUGAUUUCUUGUAAGCAUCUUGUAUGAAUGGCAAUUCAAUUAAAAGAAGACUCGUAGAUAAAUACCGUUACAAAUACAAUGAACUCGCACCAUAUUAAUUGCAGAUCUAUGUUCUUUUCAUCUUACAUCUCCCUUCAUUUCUAUUUUUGGCCUAAAGAGUGCCGUGCUCAUAAAAAGUAAACUAUUGUUGUUGGCAUGUUGGCAAAGG